This 1108-nucleotide small RNA is filed under the name Histoplasma capsulatum. RNAcentral describes it as "hypothetical RNA". Lineage: Eukaryota; Fungi; Ascomycota; Eurotiomycetes; Onygenales; Ajellomycetaceae. The record is from RNAcentral. RNAcentral also lists the same sequence under 1 other name.
AUCUAUCUAUCUAUAUACCAUCCCCCACCCCGUUGCAAUGAAAGGGAGAACAAACAUGCAGAUAAGACUGUCCAGCUUGACUUGCAAAAUUAGAAAAGUGAGAACAAAAACAUAUCUAUCCGUAACUCACAAAUCCAUCGUUUUUCUAUUGUAUAGUACAUAACUACAUAACUACACACAGCACAGUCACGCCGCGGCGACAAACCCCCCCCCCCACACUUCAUAUCCUAACACCACAGGCAUCCAUGCAUACCAGUACAGAAAGUAGGAGAAGGUAGAAGAAGAAGAAGAAGAAGAAGAAGAAGAAGAAGAAGAAGAAGAAGAAGAAACAAACAGCCCUCACCUCAACAAACCAACCCGCGAUGCGAUGCGAUGCAAGCCAAGCCCGAAUGGAAAACCCCCGCGCAAAAAGCAAAAACGAUCUUGUACAGAAUAGCGGAUAGCGGAUAGCGGAUAGCGGAUAGUGGAUAGCGGAAGAUGCAUCUCGCUAAAUACAAUAGAAUAUAAUACAAUAUAAGAUAACAGAAUAUAAUAUAAUAUAACAUGAGUAAGUAUAACUAGUAUAGGAGACGUGAGGGACAUGUAAGGAAUCACCCAACCCCAUCCAUCUAUGCCGUUCUAAGGGGUAUCUUGUUGUUGUUGUUGUUUUUCAUGGCAACUUCAGUAAAAAUGAUUCGUGUCCUUCAUCUCCGUGUAUAUGUGUGUGUGCGUCCUUUUCUUCCCUGGAAGCCGAAAAGGAAAGAGAAGAUGGAAUGGUAGGGGAAUAUAUAUAUAUAUAUAUAUAUUUAUAUGAUUUAGCUACUCCACGGUGAGAAUUUCGAUCGAGGAGGAAGGGGGAGGAGAGGGAAAAGGGAAAGGAGACAGGAAUGCAUUGUAUGUAUGUAUGUACGUAUGUAUGAACUGUACUUUGGCGUUGUAUGGAUGCUAUAUCAACAAGGAAAUGGCAGGGGAAGAAAAAAAGAGAGAUAGAAAAGGGUAUGUAAAUGAAGAAUUAGUUAAGGGUUAGAAACAAGGAAGAUGGAAAGAAAGAAAGAAAGAGGAGGAGAAGAGGCGCCCCGAAAACGAGUUCAAAAAAAAAAAACGAAGAAGAGAAAAAUGGGAAAUGAGG